RNAcentral lists this ribosomal RNA (301 nucleotides) under uncultured bacterium. RNAcentral describes it as "partial 16S ribosomal RNA". It matches the Rfam family "Bacterial small subunit ribosomal RNA", at positions 509 to 807 of the family's 1533-position model. The record is from RNAcentral.
CAGCCGCCGCGGUAAUACGUAGGUGGCAAGCGUUGUCCGGAAUUAUUGGGCGUAAAGGGCUCGCAGGCGGUUUCUUAAGUCUGAUGUGAAAGCCCCCGGCUCAACCGGGGAGGGUCAUUGGAAACUGGGAAACUUGAGUGCAGAAGAGGAGAGUGGAAUUCCACGUGUAGCGGUGAAAUGCGUAGAGAUGUGGAGGAACACCAGUGGCGAAGGCGACUCUCUGGUCUGUAACUGACGCUGAGGAGCGAAAGCGUGGGGAGCGAAUAGGAUUAGAUACCCCCGUAGUCCCUGUCUCUUAUAC